RNAcentral lists this long non-coding RNA (20967 nucleotides) under Marmota monax (woodchuck). The stretch from base 12185 to 12256 matches the Rfam family "tRNA". The record is from RNAcentral. Lineage: Eukaryota; Metazoa; Chordata; Mammalia; Rodentia; Sciuridae.
UUGGGAAAGUCCCAAAGCCACUGGCAGGUUCAUGAACUGGAAUCUGUGGCUAACUGCUGCCAGCACCACACACAAACCUCUUGUCCUUAAACAGGGUGGCUCUUUUCCCUCUCAAUGCACUCACUUCUGAACAGAGUGCCUCUCAUCUGCCCUUGCCCAAAUUCAACGUCAUUUCCUCUGCAAAGCCUUCUGCCUCUCCCCUACUUGUGAAGUAUUUUAAAUCCUGGCAGCAUAUCUUCCUAAAGGUUCCUUCUCUCUGUCCCAUUCAGGCAAAUAGCUCAUCACAGCUCUUUCCUCCAUUCAUAACUGAGUGUCCACUGCAAUGGGAUUCACCCUAAUUUAAAACACAUUUGUGAAGAUAUGGUGUCACCGAGGGAAGUUACACCUGCAUAGGUCUACAGAGAGGUGAGUUACCUUGAGCACCUCACCAGCUGGUUGCUAGGAGGAGCCUCCUGAUUUAUGGAUAAUGAGCUUACCCCUCCCUGGACCCAGGGAUCUGGGAGGUAGGAAGUUGGGCCUCCAGAGCAGAGGAUCCAGGACCAAGACCAGAAAGUGCUGGGAGCACCAAGCAGCAGAGCAGGUGAAGAGCCAAGUCUGAGCUCCACAAGACAGAAAGCCUGGCAGAUCUUAGCCUGGCUUCGGUUUUCUGAGUUUAUUUCCUUGUUGCCCUUAAGGAGAACUGACUGACCCCUGAAUAGGCAGGACUUAGGCUCAUUCUUUCCACAUGCUUACAGAAAUACUUGAGCCAUGAAAAGGUCAAUAGACUCCAAAACACAAAAAGAAAAAGUGAAACUAAAAUGUUUAAAUGAGUCUCUACAAAACAAAAUAUUAAUCAACUUCCAUGUUUUUAAAUUUGUAUUCUAUUGGAAAACAAUCUGUAAGUUGAUUUUUUUUUUCUCACCGCUCAAGACUUCCUAAAUAUCGAUCAUAAUUGCUAUGAAAUCACAGUCAAUCAUAGAUUCAGUGAGCUCCUUAUAGAUAGACAUUUUUUAAAAAAAUAAACAUUUUUAAAAAUCUUAAUGGAAAAAUAUAUUAUAUUGACUAUAAUAUAUAAUAAUAUAUUGAGUGUGAAACGUGGGUGUGUCACGAGCCAUCUGUGGACUGUGUGUGGACUGUUGUGCAUAGUAGCCUCCUGAGGGGAUAAGUCUGGCAUUGGGAACUCCCCGUGGCACCCCCCACAGGGACUGACUGCCUGAUGCAGGUGAACUUCUUUCCCCCUCAGCUCUGCCAGAGAUCCCAUACAGCACCUGAGAUGGGUGUGACCUGCCAAGAUAUCAAUCAACCUGCUGACCAUAAGACUCUGCCCUUGAAACCUUAUCCCUGCCUUUGAUGUACCCUCUUAAAUAAACCACCAGAGCCAUUUUAUCUUUUGUCUAAUUAGAGAACCUAUGUGGACUAGAUCUAUCAGGGGCUUCACUUUCUGUAAAUAUAUUUUUGAGUAUUUGUGCUUCGUUAUUUACUAAUCAUCUGAAAUUGUAAGUCUUAGGGUGACUUGGAUUAUUUUGGGCAGGAAGAAAGACCCCCUUAAUGAGAUGCUGGCCACUGUCAUCCCCCCAUCCCCCAUAUGGGUGUAUUUUUUUUUUUUUACCAUAUGGGUGUAUUUUAACACACUCAGUACUGAGACGUAAUAGCAAGGUCGUAAGAACAUGAACUCUGGGACAAGGCAGCCUGACUUGAAGUUCUGGCUUUGCCACUUACUAGCUAUCUGACUUAGAGCAGAUGAUUUAACCACUCUGGGCAAUGAUUCCCUCACCUAUAAAAAAGAUGAUGAUGAUUAUGAUGAUGAUGAUAGUUCCUAGGAGUUAUAAUAGUCCUAAUAGUUUCUGAAACACAAAGAUGACGAUAAUUUCUAUGGUCUGAAAAUUGUGACUCCCCGAAAUUCAUGUUAAAAAUCUAAUCUCCAAUGCAAAAGUAAUAAAAUAUGGCAACCUUUAGGAAGUUAUUAGGUGGAAUCUCCAAAAGUGGAGUUGUGCCCUUAUAAGAGGUUCAGGGAAGGGCUGAGGUUGUGACUCAGCGGUAGAGCGCUCGCCUCACACGUGUGAGACCCUGGAUUCGAUCCUCAGCACCACAGAAGAAUAAAUAAGUGAAAUAAAGGUAUUGUGUCCAACUACAACAAAAAAAUAAAAAAGGUUCAGGGAAGCUCAUUCAUCCCUCCUGCCAUGUGAAGACACAGAAAGAAGGAACUAUCCAUCACUCAGAGAGCACGCCCUACCAGACACUGAAUCUGUUUGCUUCCUAGCCUACAGAAUUGUGAGCUAUAAGUUUCUAUUGUUUAUAAACUGUUCAGCCUAAGGUAUAUUGCUCUAGCUGCUUGAAUGGACUGAGACAGUGACCAUAGCUUGUUACUAUGAAAAGAAUAUCUUAAGGUUGUAUGAAGAUUACAUGAGUUAAUGUUUAUAAAUUUUUUGGAAUAAUUUCUGGCAAGAAGUAAGCACUAUUUAAGAUUUAUUAGUUUGUUUAUAUAAAUAAACAAAUAUAAGAGAGUUUUGGAACCCUGAGUGUUUUGUUUAAGUCUUUAAGAAGGUUACAUCCAAGUUCACCUGGCCGGUGAAACUAUGCAGAGUAAUCUAUGCAGAAUUUGGCACAGCUAUGGGAGGAAUCAGGUAAACUUGUAUUUUCAGCUUAGAGGCAGAACACAAAAGGCCCCAAGGGAAAGGAAAAUUCAGGCACUAUGGAAAGCUACCGAGUUUUUGUUUGUGUCUCCUGCCCAGGUUAGCCUAUGAAGUCUCCAGGUUUGGUUUUAUUAAGAAAGCUGUCACUCGAACUACUCCCAAAUCUAAUUGUCCAUUUGAACACUGCUGGACUCCAGCAGUCUCUGGCUGUGCUGACAACCCCCGCCCUACAUGACACAUACACCUUAACUGUUUCUCUCCAACCUUUGACUGUCUUACUCUCCUCUGUGUUUUUUUUGUCUCUGAUGAUGAAUCCAACUUACCAGGAUCCCAUCCAGUUGCAGGUGGUGGUGAGAGGACUGGCUGUGUCCAGAAGGCUCUGUGGUAUGCUGGUCCUAUCAGCCCCAGAAUGAAGGGAAGACUAAUAUGGAUUAGAUGUGGUUGUCUCUAAAGGCCAGUGACUUGGUCCCCAGUAUGGUGGUGUUAAGGGGAUGGGACAUUUAAGAAGUGGAGCCUACUGGAGGCAUGUCCACAGAAGGGACUAUAAGAACCAAACCUCUCAGGCUUUCUAUGUGGCAAUGUGAUCUUUCCCUUGAUGUGAUCUCUCUCAUACACACAUGUGCUCCUGCCAUCCACUGAGGUCCUUAGCAGAGCCAAGACUUGAAUCUCUAAAACUGAGCUAAAUAAAUCUCUUUAUUUAUAAAGUUAGCCUUCCUCAGAUUUUUUUUAUAGUAACAACAAAAAAAUGAAUUAAUACAAAGAGACCACACUGGCUUUGAGUCACAAGCCUUUCAGGAGAACAUAAUCGAUGUGCUUAAUGGCAGCAUAAACCACAUCAUUCGCUAAGAUAUUUAUGGCUGCAAGUAACAAAAGAAUAUAACUUAGCUUGACUUAAACAAUAAUAAAAAAAUAUCAUCUCAUAUCUUAAUCUGUCUAGGCUACUAUAAGACAGUACUAUAAGCUGAGUAGCUUAUAAACAAUAGAAAUAUAUUUCUCACAGUUCUGAAGGCUGAUAAAAUCCAAGAUCAAAAGACCAAAAGAUUAGGUGUUUGGCAAGGGCUCAUUUCCAAGUUCAAAGAUGUCUUCUUGUAACCAGAACCCAGUGCUUGGCCCCAAUGCCAAUUAAUGCCCGUUUAAUAAUGAGGACAUGGUUUUGAGAAAAAGGAAAAAGAGAUUUUAUUGCUUUGCUAGCAAAGGAGAAACACAGGAGACUUCUGUCCCAGAGGCUGUAAAUUCUGCCCAUUAGGAGGAACAGGGGGGUUUUAAAGGAACUCUUCAUUCCAGUGUGCUCUGGUAAGGGGAUCCCAGGGUCCAGUGUCCCUGUCUGCCUCUCUCACCCCUGCUCCACAUUCCACGUUGGUGGUGGAAAUGGAGUUCCUCUGUAUGGAGUAAGCUAGCAGCAAAAAUAAAGCUAAGAAAAAGAAGGCCAUGAAAAGACCACACGACAUGGAAGUAAUUUUGAAAAUCGGGAGCCUGCAUUUGCUUUAUUCUAUGUGGGGAAACUUCAAAGGGUAUCCAUAGAAUGUUCCUCACCAAGUAAGGCAGGAGGCGGUCUGUCCAAGCCCAACCCAUACGCCCAACUCCAGAACUACAGAGUAGUUUUCCUGGCCAAGCAGAGACUUGGGUCAUGUGCAUUGCAUAAUCCAUUAAGUAGGAGGGGCUGCCAAAUAGCGCAAGGCCAGACCAAAAUUUCCUUGGCUCAAGACUUCUCAAAGAGCUCAGGGGUGGCUCUCCACACCAGAGCAGCCUGAUGGUGUGUUAGGAUUCACUUGUUAAUUUGGAAGAUAUUCACUUCCUAGAUCCUCUGGCAGCAUCUCCUUCCCGUGGAGCACAGAUAACUCAAGGGAAUCUCAUUCCCCACCCCCAGGUUAGGGAGGGAGAGAGGGAGAAGAGGAAAAGGAGUACCCUUCCCUUUCAAAAAUAAGCCUCAAGCUAUUUUCAAAAGGUGAAGUGGACCACUGCUGUGUUCUCACUGUGAUAUCUUUUCUAACAACAUUAAUCCACCCACAAAAUCUAAUCCUAAAGACCCCACCUCAAAAUAUGUGGAGCUUUGGAAUUUUACACAUGAAUUGUUUUUCUGAUGGAGUUGGGGGAUGGGACACAAGCAUUCAGUCUAUAGCAUCUCAGACCUCAAUACAACUAGAGGUGGGAAUAGUCCAAAAUUAGCUUAUCACUGGCUCAGUAACAACAUCAAGGAAUCAGAUUCUUCCCAGAUUUUCCAUGUAUUACUCCAUUGUUUUAACUUUUUCCUCUUAAAGUUGUGAUAUGUCUGCUGCAGUUUAAGAUAUUGGUGUAGGCUAACAAUGGGUGGGUGUAAAUGAGUACAUCUCUUCCUCUGCAUCCUCCUUAGCAAUAAGGGUAUCUUCCCCCACAGGUCCCAGAAAAUGGCACCUCACCUGAGGCCAGAAUUUUAUCAUAUAUGUAAGAUUAAACCAGCCAAACUGACAAGGGGUGUGGAACCACCAUGAUUGUCCUGCCUCUGGGACUAGGCUGGAGCCAGCCUCACCUGAAGUACACAAAGAUAUGGAAUAGAGGAGAUUCCAAAAUAUUUGGAAUUUCUUGUUAUUUGGCCCUAAGUAUUGGGCCAAAUAACAAGAAGGAAAAAAAAAUCGCAGUCCAUGUUGCAUAGAAAAAUCAAGAGUAAUUGCUAAACUGUCUAUGAACUCACAGCUGGUUCUUGAAGAGACUUAGGGAGGUUGGAAAACCAAAGAUUACGAUGGAAGGGUUCAUUCCUGGGAAACUGGUGUUUUUGUUUAUUACUAUUGAUGCAAUUCGUUCUCUCUGAUUUUUACCACCAAUUCCUCCCUCCACCACAUGUAACACAAAAGAGUAGGAAAAAAUACCUACGCUGUGUAUGAAGAACCUGGCAUAAUUUUUGGCAUGAAAUGGGCAUCAAUGAAGCAGCAAUAAAUAAAUGUGUCUCUCUUUCCCCAGCCUAGAUAACUACAGCCACAUCCUAACUGGUCUCCCUGACUGCAGAGAAGGGCAUUUUUCCAAUAUUCAAUUUGGAUCUGAACAAAUGUUCCUGCCCUCAGCACAAAGUCUUGUGUCCUUAAUCGGGAACACAAGAUCUUUUAUCCAAUGAAUCCAGCCUGGAAAAUGCAUCUUCAGAAUUCUUAUUCAUGCAUCCUCAGUUCCAGCCCUGCUAGAGGGAUAAAUGAUUGAAGGAGGAGUAGGCAGGACUCAGUUAAAAAUUAGAUGUAACAUCACACCAAUAAAUUUAGAGGAGACAUUGAAUGAAUUUCAGCAACCAUCUUCUAAUUAAAAAAAAAAACCUAAGUAAAAUAGGCCUAUAAGAAAACUUCUUAAAUUUAAUAAAGGUCAUUUCUCCAAAACAGCAAAUAGUCUAACAACAAGAAAAUCACUAACUCUAUUUCAUUAAAAAGAGUAAGCAGGGUACCUAUUAUUACCAUUAUUAUUCAACAGUGUCCAGAAGUUGUAGCAAAAAAAAAAAAAAGUACAAAAAAGAAAGCACAUAAUUAUAAGACUGAAUACCUAGAAAAUACAAAGAUUCUAGUAUGAAAGUAUCAGAAUUUAAAAGAAAAUUUGGCAGGGUGGCUGAAUACAAGAUAUAUAAAUGUAAAACAGUAGCUUUCACUUCCUUUGCUAUAUCCAUAGGGCAGCUAAUGUUCCUAAAACCUUCCCACUAGAAAAUGCUGAAAAGUGGGUAAAAAAGAAAAACAUUCAUUUCAAAUUAGUAACUUAGCUAAAAAGAAAGGGCAAUUCUUAAAGCUGAAGCAUAAAUCCAGGCAGGUAAACUGAUAGAGGCUGAAGAGUUAGAUAUAGUACUAUGGAGUUUCAGAGUGAAUCCCUGCGUAGUGGCAAGAAGCAAAUUCAGGUCCACGUGAGGUGGGGAGUCAGAUCAUGAGAAUAGGCUCAAGAAGAAUCAUAAAAAAGACAAGAAGGAAGCUGGUUUGUCUUGGCCCCAGCUCUAAAGAAGAAAACAACACCCCUAUAAAAAUUAAUAACCAGAAACCACCUGUCCCCAAGCAGGAACAGGGUACAACUACAUACCACAUGUGAGGUCCAAGAAACCUCCAACCAAGUAUUUUCUUAAAGCAGUACCAGAUUGGAAAACCCCAGGCACCUGGCGGAGAAAUAUACCAAAUUUUAGGAGACAAAGUUCCAAAAACCAAGAACUCAUUCCUUUUUUCUUUUAAAUCAUAAAACACCAAGAAAACUAGGCAUCAUGAAUGAGUCAGCAGAGAUUGCGAACAGCAGAAUAAGACCCAUGUAGCAUUUAGAUACAGGAAUUACUAAAAUAUAUAUAUAAGAUAAAUAUAUCUGUUUAAAUAAAUAGAAGAGAAUUUGAAACAUGAACAAGAGAAAGAGACCAGAGAGAUUCCCAGUGAGGAGUGUCCACAGCUGUUGCCACCAUUUCAGGCCCAGGACAUGUGAGAACAGAACUGACCAGCUGUGUGGGAAAUCGGUGGAGUAGCAAUGAUGUCUCAGCACACUGGUGCAAAGGUACACAUGGCGAGUCACUCCCACUCAGAAGAGUGGAGUCUCCUCCGGUUCCAAACAGAAGAUCAGGAGUUUGGGUUCAUUACUUGCUUUACUAAAAUUCUACAAAAUGCACAAUUCGGAUACUACAAUGUUGAUAGAACCAGCUUCAGAGGUUUAGGGAAGGAGGUGGAGUGAUUCUCAGGCAAGAAGGGUCAGAAAAUGUACAACCUGAUCCCACUUAGCCUUUAAUGAGAGUGGUGGGGGAGAUCUUGUCUUUAAGAAAGGAGACAAACUGUGAUUUCAGGAAAAGUCUGAAGAACAGCGAUGGAAUAAAAAAGAGAAGGCAAGAUGGGGAGCAGUCUAGCUCUUUAUAGGGAAACAUAAAGGCCUGCCACUAUUUUAGUAUUGGCUCUUAUUUGAGGUCAUGAACUAGUAAAGUUCUCAGGGGUCUUGGGAUUAGUGUGAGUGGUCAAAGGGAAGGAGUAUGAACACCAAACAAGGUCACUUCCUAUUCAUUCAUGCUUCUCUGUUAGAUCAGCAGGACCACAUAAGGACAUUGGCUCAAUAAACAGUUUUGCUGAUGUAUGGGAAUGAGAUUUUUUAGUUUUUUGCAACUGACAUAUAUACAAUUUUUCUACAGAUAUCACAGACAGUUUAGUUCAGAUAAGCACUGUGAACUUCUAGAAUAGAACUGCUCCAUUCCUAGUCUCAGUUCACCAAGAUUGAGCUAUGAAACUGGAGAGUCUAUGUGUUCAUUUUUGGAUUAGUUAAUUUUAGUGGUAGUAGUGACUCUGUCUUAUGUAUAGAAGGGACAGUGUAUUAGUCCAUUUCUGUAACAAAAUAUCAGAGGCUUGUUAUUUUGUUUAAAAAAAAUAGGUUUUAUUAGCUUGCAGUUUGCAGGGGCUCAAGGACAUAGUAUUGGUAUCAGGUCAGCUCUGGUGAGGGCCUUGUGGUUGAUAACAUCACAAUGGUGGGUUCACAUACAAGCGCAAAAACAUAGUGGGGCAGGAAGCCAGAGAGAUUCAGGAAUUAGACUCACUCUUUUAUAACAACCCAACUUGUGUUCAUCAUAUUUCCAUUGUUGUGACAAAACACCUGAGAAAAACAAAGGAGGAAAGAUUUAUUUGGGUUCAUAGUUUCAGAAGUUUCUGUACAUGUUGGCUGGCUCCAUUGCUUCUGAGCCUGAGGUAAGGCAGAUUAUCAUGAAGGUGGGAGCAUAUGGAAGAGAAGGCUGCUCACUUCAAAGCAGUCAGGAAACAAAAGAGAGGGGAAGUGGCCAGAAACAAGAUAUACACCUCCAGGGCAUGUUCCCCAUGACUUGAUUCCUCCAAUGAGGCCCCAUCUCCUACAGUUUUCAUACCUCCCAAUAGCCCAUUAAUUAUGAACUUGUUGAUGGAUUAAUGCUAUGAUGAUGUUAGGACACUCGUGAUCCAGUCACUACCCCAAAACACCACCUCUGAACAUUGCUGCAUUGGGGACAAAACCUUCAACACAUGAGCCUUUGGGUGAUAUUCCAGACUCAAACCAUAACACCACUCUUUCAGGAAAUAACUCAUUCUAUAGGAUCAGCAUUAAUCCUUUCUGAGGGCAGUGCCCCCAGUGACUUUGCCUUCCACUAAGCUCUGUCUCUUAAAAGUUCCAUCACCUCUCACAUGGUCACACUAGGGACCCAACUUCUAACACAAAAAUCCCUAGGCGAUAUAUUCAAACCAUAUCCAAACUGUAACAAAUGGUUAUCUUGCUCCCUUAUUCUCAGAUGGUGAAAAUCAACCUGUGGAAAACUGAUGGUAUUAGGAGGAGUACCUGCUGCUUAUCCUGAUUUAUUAAUGGUUUUCUUUUCUCAUUCUGAAACCAUUCUAUCAAAUGGCAACAAACUGUUCCUGUCCACCCCCAUGAAGUAAUCAUGCACCAUGUGAAUAACACACAAUAGAAUUACUUUUUCACUUAUAAAACAUGACCAGUUAUGACUCAUUCUGACAUUUCAAAGCCUAAAAAUUCUGGGGGCACUACCAAAGGCAUUUGUCUUCCUUCUAGCCAAUGAUUCAUACAUUUUCUUCAGAUUCUGUUAACCCUUGUCAUUCUUUCUCCCCAAACCUAUAAGUACAUUAACUAUAAGAUAAGUGUGUAUUUUCAUUACAGAUAUAAAACUGAAUGUGCAGGGCACAUAACUCGGUACCUAGCAUUAAUUGCAUAUUGGAUCCACUAAGUAGAAAACUAAAUACCCAGCUCUCUGCCUUCCCUCAAAACAUCAUAGCAGGCUUGCUAAAGAUCAAACUCAGGGCCCUGUGCAAUCUAGGCAAGUGCACUACCUCUGAGUUACUCCCCCAGGCCCAGUCUUUCCUUUUUCAUCACAGAAGAAAAUCUUUCACAGACCCUCAAAUUCUCCAGCAUCAUUAGCCCAAACUGAAUUAUAUGAGUACUCCUAAGCUGACCAUGGACAAGAUGGGCUUCGACCAAUCAUAAUUGCAACCCUUAUUGCGAAGCAGUGCCAGGCUGCCCUGGGCAGGUUGCAGCCCCAGACUGGCUUAUCUGAACAAAGAAAGGAGCAGAAAAUGAGUAUUUAUCACAGAGGCAGAAAAGCAUGGUCUGAAGCCAGAAAGAAGAAUAAAGCAUAUAGAGAACUGAGAAAAGAAACUUUCUAGAUUCCAGUUCCCUUUCCAGUCUAUCUCAGAACUCCAGCCACUUCCCUGCUCUGUGGUUUCCUGAGGCUGCCUUAACAAAAUGCCACAAACUAGGUGGCUUAAACCAACAAAAGCACACAAUAAAUAUUACUUAGCCUUAAAUGAGAAUGAAAUUAUGGCACUUGCUGUUAAAUGGAUAGAACUGGAGAAUGUUAUGCUAAGCGAAAUAAGCCAACCCCAAAGAACCGAAGGCUAAAUGUUUUCUCUGAUAUGUGGACGCUAAUUCACAAUAAGGGUGGGGGAGAAUACAGGUCCUUAUUAAUAGACCUUAUUACUCUAUGUGUAUAUAUGAUUACAUGACCUGUGUAACUCUACAUCAUGUACAGACAAAUGAGAAGUUAUGCUCCAUUUAUGUAUGAUGUGUCAAAAUAAUUCUACUGUCAUGUAUAACUAAUUAAAACAAAUUUAAAAAUUCUAAACUGUUGGAAGCUGCCCUGGAUGCAGACGCCUUUAAGUUCUGAUAUGCCGGGUUCUGAACAAUUCUUGCAUCCAGUCUGGCAGGGCAGUGCCAGGACGAAGUAACUUGGGUGUUUCUCUAGCUCGGAUAACAAGGCAUGGCUCCAGGUAUAAGCGUCACCCGCUGGGGUUGAGUUACACUCACCUGUUCCCUUGUAAUCCUACCCCUUUGCCAUUUUGGGGCUAGAAUGUUCCAUGGAACCUCCCCUUAUGUGUCCCCUAUAUAAGAAUAAAGAAUUCCAGUGGCUCUCUCUUUCUCUUUCCACGGACCCUUAAGGUCGGAGAGCCGUCACAGAUUUUGAAAAGGUAUUUCUGUGUGUUGCGUGCUUUCUUUGUCAUUUUCUUAAGUUAUUGGAAUAGUCAAAUUUUGUGAACCCAUCAUUAGGUCGCCAGCUAGGAUAGAUGGUGAUACUAAAAAAUCAACAAAAGCAUAUUGUCCCAUGGUGCUGGAGGAACUCAAGGUGUGGGUAGGACUAUGCUUUUGCUGAAAACUUCAGAGAAAAUCCUGUGUUGGCUCCUCCUGGCUUCUAGUGGUUUGCCACCAAUCCUUGACUCCCAAAGACAACACUGCAACCUUUGCUUCUGUCCUGGUAUGGUCUUCUUCCCUGUGUGUCUGUGUCUCUUCUUAGAAGGACACCAGGCAUUUUGGGUAAAGGGCACAUCCUGCUCAGCAUGACAUCAUCUUCAAUGAUUACAUAUGCAAUGACUCUAUUUCCAAGUAGGUCACGUUCUGAGAUAAGGGGGCUAGAAAAAUCAUCAUAUCUUUAAGAAGAUACCAUUCAACCUUUAAUGGGUUGUAUGAGACACCCUUGUAUCAUAAAUGGUCUCUUGCAUUACCUAUAUCUAGAAAUUUUCUAUAGUUUAUAACAAAAGAGUCCUUGUAAUGUAGAAACCAAUGUCAUACCAUACCUUCCAGGGUCUCUUCUCCUCUUUACCUAAUCUCCUGGUCUUUAGAAGCAACUUCAUGUUCACCAAACAGGGUGAUCUGUGAUUACCUUAGAUCAGUUUAAUCUCCUUCUAACCAAAGAAAGUCCCUUUUCAGAAGGUUUUGCAUGAGUUUGAAGGGUUCAUUUGCAACAUUAAAGAGCCAGCAUGAGAAGUUUCCUAAAAUUAAAGAACAGUCUUCUUUUAAACUUGUAGUUUUUUCCAGACAGAAGAAAAUGCACGGUUGCUUUUUUUUAACUUUUUAAAAAUUUGUUCUUAUCAGUUUUACAUGAUAGUAAAAUGUAUUUUGACAUAUGUAUAUGGAGUAUAGUUUUGUGCUCAUUCUUCUGGUUGUACAUAAUGUAGAAUUGCAUUGGUCAAAAUGCAGGGGCUUUGUUGUUGCUGUUUUAAUUUGUGAAAACAGAGCUUAUUUUAUUUUAUAUUUUUAGUUUUGGUACUAGGGAUUGAACCCAGGGGCUCCUUACUACUAAUCUCCACCCUCAGCCCCUUUUAUUUUUUAUUUUGAAACGGAUCUGACUAAGUUGUUUAGGGCCUUGCUAAAUUUCCCAGGUGGGCCCUGAAGUUAUUAGGAUCCUCCUGCUUUGGCCUCCCUAGUCGCUAGGAAUACAGGUAUACACCAUUAUACCUAGCUGAAAAUGUAGCUUUUGAAUCUCUCUUUUUUGUUCAAUCUGCAUCAACUGCACCAGCUUGCUUGAGCUUGCUUCCAGUUCAGGUCCCAACUAGAUUACCAAGUCUUACUCUUUGAAACCUGUCCCAAUUGUACAUUCUAAUAUAACUCAGUGCACCUCCAAAUAUUGCAGCUUUUCAGAUCUGGGGUAACCUCCCUUUUCUGGUAUCUGUGAUCUGCUACAUCCCAGUCCUCACCCUGACUGGCCUGGAAUCAUUUUUGUCUUUGCUGUUGGGAUGACAACUACAGCAUGAUCUUGACUCAUUAAUUAAUUCCAAGCUUGGAGAAUUUGUGUGAAUUGAUGGAAAUUCAUUAAUUGAUCUUGUUCAGUGCCACUUAUUUGUUUUUAAUUUUUUUAAAAAUAUAAGUUAUGGACUAGAGCUGUAGCUCAGUAGUAGAGCAUUUGCCUAGCAUGUAUUAGGCACUGGGUUCGAUCCUUAGCACCACAUAAAAAUAAACAAAUAAAAUAAAGACAUUCUGUCUAUCUACAACUACAAAAAGAAUUUUUUUUAAAUACAAGUGAUGCAGGUAGAAAAUCCAAGCAGUGCAAAAAGACCUUAAGUGACAAACCUACAGUAGAUCACAUCUGGAACAGUAAGUAGGGCCUCUCUCUCCCCAUCACCAGACCUGUGUCACCAUGUGCAAGGAAAGAAUCAAAUGAAGAAAAUAAAUAGAGAGGAGAACACAGAUUUAUUCAGGACAAACCUGCAGAGGUGGCCUGGGCUAGGCUAAGACCCAUCCUCGGCUUAUAGCCUGGGGUAGAUAUAGAGGAGUGAGGAAAGGGGGAGUUUUUGCAUCUAGGUCAUUGGCAGGGGAUUGUCACAGAGGGGUCCUUAUGGUGUUACCUUCAUAAGAAAGCAGGUGUUUUUAAGGAUUUUAGUCCCAGAGAACAAUUUCCUUUCUUAUGAUGAUGGAGGGUCGUCUGGAGUUUAGGUCAAGCUAAGUUAGAGAGAUCUUGAGGAAUUCUUAUUCUAAGGUGGAGGAUAUGUUUCAAAAUGACAUUUUGAAACAUAUCAGUGUCAAAUUAUUCUUACCUUUUCUAAACCCUUAUUUAUGCUUACUGUAUUCUCACCUAACCACCAUGAUUCUGCCCCACCACUCUGGCAUUAGUGAUAAUUGUCCAUAGUCACAGCCUCAAAUUGGAGGUGGGUAUAAACAUAAACUAUAACAAAAGAAGUCAACAAAACUCAUAAGAAAAGCAAUACUCUGAAAGCCAGGGAGGUCCUACAUUGUUCUAAAUUGCCUUCCUCUGACUAUACCUUCCUGUGGGGUCAGGAAUCUGCAAGGCCAUAGGGUAUGCUCACCCCAAGUCAUACCUACCCUUCUAGACCACCCUCUGGGUACCUGGGAGCCCAGAUAUUCCACCCCAGAAUGCCCCUGAGCCUGUAUUAGGGGCCUGAGUACCUCCUCUUCCUGGGUCUGUCCUCUAUAUAGCAACCCAUAUAGCUGGUAUGUGUACCCCCAGGGCCCAGGGCACAGGUAGUAGUUUGGAAGAGAAUAGAGGGUAUGGACUGUGCUGGGGGCAUCCUCACAUAUGCCCCAUGUUCCUGGAGAUACAGGACUGCACCAGGGGAGCAGAGGGUAGUGGGAGUAGGCUGCAGAGGAACUAGCUCAGAUUCUUUCAAACUGUGAGAAGGGACUAUCUCUGGGGUUUGUGCCUGUCUUCUUACCUUUUCUAAACCCUUGUUUAUUCUCACUUUAUAAGCACUUGAGAUUUUCAUACAUCAAUAGCCUUAAACUCCACUGAUCUCUAAGGUUUGGGGACAUGAGAUGAAGGCAGAGAGGGGCUGGGCUGGGGCAGAUGUUAGGACUCCUUGGGUUGGAUGGAGUUGGGGGUUGAUGUCUGAACUAGGAUGGGCAUAGAAGUAGGUCUGGUGUUUGGGUCUGAAAAUGAGAUUAGGUCUCAGGCUGAAAUUGUGGAGGUGCUCAUGUUGGGUUGGACUAGGGACUAAGGUUGAAAAUAGACCCUCCACUGAGGCGGAGGCUGGGGUGGGAUUAGGUUGGAGUUGCAGUUGAAAUGAGGUUGACUUUAGAGACAAAUUUAGAGCUGAGGUUGGGGUUUAUGUUUGGGUGAGGGUUUGGUUUCAGGCUGGGCCUGAACUCGAAGCUGAAGUGGAGGCUCAAACUAAGGUGGAGACUGGGAUUGUGCUGGUUUGGGCCUGUUCAGUCCAAUCUGGAAGCCGGUAGAGAGAACGGAGCCUCAGUCUCCUCUAAAGAAUAAUUCCCAUUCUGCGAUCUGUACUCCCAUUUAUUUCCAUCUGAAACACAGUCACCCUCCUCCUACUUGCCCCAAUAUCCUUUCUGCCUCCCCAGCUCACUUAUCUGCAUAAAUCUGGGGAAUAUAAUUGCAGGUUUUCUCAGGCAGCACAGGUACCAAUGUCAGGAAAUUCUAAAAGGAGGGCAAUAGGUGGGGCUGGAUCCUUCCUGUCUUUGUGCGUAAGGACCCAGAAUUCUGAUCAAGAUCUUCUAGUCCCUGACUAUGGACAGUAAAUAGAAAGGGAACUGGAACUCAGAUUGAGGAUGUGUGUAGGUGGUAGUGAGAGAUGAGCCCUGCUUGCUGUCUUCCUCCAGGGUAUCUCUUUCUCCCCCUUUCAGCCUUCCCCACCCCUGUCCUGUCUUCCUCAUUUUUGUCAUUAUAGAGAAAGGUGGUCCAGAAGGGAUCAUAGGUACAGUCUAUUAUUUUUUUCUCUGUCAUAUUCUUUCUUACUUUCUGCCUCUGAAGUUCCCAGAAUCAUUAGAUAAUGUCUCCCGGGUUCAGGAGAACCCAUUUCCCUUCUCUUACAUAGUGCAGACAGACCCAGGCUCUUAGGAUCUGAACAUCUGACCCAGCAUCAUCAGGAGGUCUAACCAUCAGGCUGGCCCACCUCUAACCUUUCCUCUACACAGAAGUAAAAAUCAACCAAAGACUCAAGACCUUGGGGGGAAGGUGGAGAGACAGUGAUGAAGGCUAGGAUUUCCUGGCCACAAUAGGAGGGGAUAAAUUGGGAAAACAAGCACAUUUUUAUUGGUAUCCAAUCUUUGAUGGAGAUUAUGCCAAUCACUUGCCUUACAUAACCAUUUGAUUUCCACAAAUAUCUUGGGAGGCAUUUUAGAUGAUGGACAAAGAAGUCUCCAAGUCAUUGUAUGACUUAUACAAGACCAUAAGACUCAUAAGGGAGAUACCCAGAAGUCUUAUAGUCUGGAUCUUGCAUGGCCCCCAAAGGCCCAUAUGUUGAAAGCUUGGUCCCAAGCCCAUGGCACUAUAUCAGAAAGUGGUGGAACCUUCAGGAGGUGUGGCCUAGUGGAAGGAAGUUAGGUCAUUGGAGUCAGGCCCUUGAAGGGGAUAUUAAGACUCUCUUUUUCAUCUCUCUUUGCUUCUCAGCCAGCAAGAGAUGAGUAGCUUCCUCCUCUACAGAUUCCUACCAUGAUGAACUAUCAUAGACCCAAAGACAACAGGGUAAGUGAUCAUAGACUGAAAACAAAAUAUAUACUUAUUCCUCUGAGGACAAAUUGCUGCUUCCUUCUAGAUGGAUGAGUUCCAAUGUAGUUACCACCAUAGGCAAAUGGCUGAGUAAUGAUGCCAUAACAGGGAUUCAGUGUUGUUCUCAAUCUUGGGUAGGUUGGACACUCAGCUGCAGAAUUAGCUAUGUCAAUCUUGGAGAAGAAAAUCUGUGUUUUGAGCUAAUAUGUAGCCUCUGUCCCUGCUGCCAUGGUAACUCUCCACAUGGGACCAGCACCACAGUGGUUGGAUAAAGUAGAUUGACACUCAGAAAUGAGGUCAUCUGAUCCAACUGAUUAUUGUCUUACCUGACACAGAGCUUUGUGGGCAUAUUCAUGGGAUACAAAUAUCUUCACUCUUUAUGUUCAUAUUGAGAUGUGGGAGAGCCAUUUAUCUCUCCCCCAAGACAACUUGCCAACAAUUUUUCAAUAUUAUUCUUCUCGAGGCUGUUCCUUCACCAGCUAGUGAACUCACUAAACUGCUGCCUAUGAAUAAACUUAGAUCCAUAUUUCAAGCCACAUAGCCUUCUACCCCAAAUGGACAAACAAAUAUGCCAUGUGAAGAUCUUCCUAUUGAGAGGACGUCCUAUCACCAUUGUUUUCUAGGGCAUCCCUAAGUAAGGCUGUACUGCAGCUGCCCUCCACUUGUAUAUAGUUGUUAGCACAGUUUGAACAGCCAUCGUUAAAUCAGGACUGUGCUUCAUAUUCUUCUCCUAACUGAUUAGAUAGAACUCCCUAGAGGUCCUAGAAAUAUGAGCCACCUACCAAUGCAACAGCACCUGCUGGAUUGCCUAUAUGUAUGAAAUAUUUCCAUUUUAAAGGUGAUUGCAACACACGCCCAAUUCUUUUGUUUUAAUUAUUAGCUAAAGCCUAGAUCAGAGUGGGCAUUUUGGGGCUGUAUAGUCAGUUAAAAUUUUAUAGCUAGGCAUUGGAUCUCUUUCAAACCCUAGGAACAAGCUCAGGAACUAAUUUUCAAAUGAAGAAUAGUUGUCAAUAAAAGAGAGUAGGACCUAAUUCCAAAGUUCCACUAUCUGCAAUGUGAAUCUCAUACUUAAAUUUGUCAGAGGCUCAAUGCUCAACUUGUCAUAGAUAUUUCCAAUACCACUGAGUAUGAACAGUUUUAAAGUCUAAAUAGUGUUUUUUAAAAAUUGUACCUUGCAGCUUGGAUCUAAUACAGAGACUUUUCCUGCCCUAGGCCCAUUAUCAAAUUGAAAACCUUAUGUUGAAGCAACAAACUUAGAUUGCUAUACAUUUUUCCAAAAGUCAAAGAUAUUCAAAGCAUAUUGUUCUGCCCUCCUAAUGAUAAAGCAAGGUAUGGCAACUUGCCUCUAACUUUGAAGUAUAUCCUGACAUACCUUACACCACUGGAGUAUUUUCUGGAUUUAUCUCCCCUCCUCUAGAAUGAAUGUGACUUACAAAGACAUUAGAGGGUGCUUAUUAUGUGCCCCAGAAAAGCUAAUACAUCUGGAGCGUUAUUUACAACUCUGUGACAACUUAAGUUUUAUAAUGUGUACAGUCAUUUUCUAAGAUCCAUCUGAUUUUCAUAAUGGCCAAACAGGCAACAUAAUAGGAGAUGUAGCAGAAAGUUAGCAAACAUAAUAUAUUAUUAUGCAAUUUUGUGCAACAUUAAGGUGAUAAAAAUCCCAUGUGCCCUCCAGAUUAUAUCAUGAUAGAGAACAAUAGAGUUGACUGUGCCAUACAUUAUGGUACAGAAUAGUAAAGUUGAUGUAUAUAAAAUAGUGAAGGUGUUCUGCUGUCCUUGUUCAUGAAAGUAAAUUGUUUCUGAUUAUCUUUGUAGAUAGGAAUUUAAAAGAAAGCAUUUGCUAAGUGAAUAGUUGCAUAUCAGUGUCAGUGAAUGUGUUGAAUUGCUUCAGUAAAGACUAUAUCUUGAAUCUUAUUUAUAACUGUAUGACAACUUAAUUAAGUUUUAUAAUGUUCAUAGUCAUUCUCUAAGAUACAUUCAAUUUUUGCAAUGACCAGACAACUUAAUUGGUGGUGUGACAGAAAUCAACCAAUCCUGCAUUUUUCUGAGCCCUAAUACUUUUCAGAUUCCUCCAAUUACAUAGUUUUGUUUUGGGGCUUAAUGUCUUGGUGUUUCUUUUUUUCUUUCUUUCUUUCUUUUUUUUUUUUUUUUUGGUACCAGGGAUUGAACCAAGUGGUGCUUAACCAGUGAGCCACAUCCCCAGCCCUUUUUAAAAUUUUAUUUAGAGAUGGGGUCUUGCAGAGUUGCUUUAUGACCUCACUAAGUUGCUGAGGCUGGCUUUAAAGCCACUAUCCUCAUGCCUCAGCCUCUCGAGCCACGGGGUUUACACUGUGGCAUGCACCACAGUGCCCGGCUUCUUGGUGUUUCUGAUGGCUAUCACUUGGCUCUUCAUCCCACAGUGUGAAGCAGGUUUAAUCAAGUAGUAGUUCUCAUUUCAGCUGUGUUGCUGAAUGUGAUAAGAUUUAUGAAAGCAGAUUUAUGAAACUUCAGUUUUAUUGCAUAUAAUCAUUGGCUUGAAGAAUGCUUUAAUUUCCAUUGUAAUAGGAAAGAGUAUUAGCAAAAUCAGUUGUGGUAGCACAUGCCUGUAAUCCCAUGGCUCAGGAGACUGAGGCAGGAAGAUGAUAUGCCCCUUCAAAGCCAGCCUCAGCAAUUUAGCAAGGCCCUAAGCAAUUUAGUGAGAUCGUGUCUCAAAAUAAAAAAUAAAAAAGGGCUAGGGAUACGGCUCAGUGGUCAAGCACCCCUGGAUCUCAUCUCCAGUACUAAAAAAGAAAGAAAGAAAAAAAGAUCUGACUCAGUUCUCAUUCACAUGACAUAGAAAAUAUUAACUUAGAAUUUUGCCUCAGGGCUACUUAAUUCUCCCAUUUUAUAUUCUAGCAUAGUCCAAAGAGAUCUGGAUUUUUCUGGACAUUCUACAGACACUACACUGAUCUAUGUCAUCAUGCUAAUUGGACAGGAGGACAAGAUGUGUCUGUUGUACUGGAAGCUUCUGUAAAGCACAUGAACUACAGAGAGUGGAGAGGGAUAAACCCUACAAACACCCAGGGACUAACCACUUCAGUUAAAUAUCCCCAUCUAAAGUAAAAGAAAAAUUGCUGCUCUUUGUAUUUUCCUCCAUCACAAAGAAGAAAGUACAGUGCCUGGUAGGUUUUUCUGGGUUCUGGAGGCAACUAGGAAUACACUGUGGUUAAUACACAGGUGACACUGAAGGCUGCCAUCGAUGUAUGGGAUCCGGAGCUAGAACAGACACCGCAGCAAGUCAAGAUGCAAUGCAUUCAGCCUCGCUACUUGAGCCACAGACUCUAGGUUUGGGACAGGUCAUGUGUAAAAUGGAGCUUAUGGCAUUCUCCAUUAGAAAUAUCACAACUCAAACUUCUGGGAUUCUGAAGUGAGGUUAUCCCACCUCAGCAGAGAAUUAUAUGCUCCUUAAGAAAUAUCUCUUGACAUGUUACUGAGACCUGGAAGAGAUGGAAUGCUUGACCACAGGACACCACAUGACCCUGUAUCUGAAACUUCCCAUUAUAAGCUGGGUUCUGUCAGGCCCAGCAGGUCACAAAGUUGGACAAGUCCAGCUAUAGUCCAUUGUCAGACAGAAAUGGAGUUGAGCCUAAGCAGCACCAGAUCAAAGGACACAAAUGAACUACAUGAGCAAGUAGUCCACAUCGCCAUAUCACUACCACAUUUGAACCAGUUCCCCUUCCCUCGUUUGAAGUUGGUGAGGAGCAGGAGGACUCAAGUUUGGCCUAUGGAUGGGUCAGCUUGACACUUGAGUUCAAGUUAAAAAGGGAUGGUUGGGGCUGGGAUUGUGGCUCAGAGGUAGAGUGCUCGCCUAGCACACAUGAGGCACUGGGUUUGAUCCUCAGCACCACAUAAAAUAUGUGUCUACCUAUAACUAAAAAAUAAAUAUUUUUAAAGUGGGGAUGGUAGCUGUAUUACAGCCACAUUAAGGGGAGAUUCUGCAAAAUAGUAGAGAAGGAAAACCUUCCCAGUGGGCAGAGCUAUCAGCUGUGCAUUAGGCUAUUCACUUUGUGUGUAAGAAGUGGCCUGGAGUAAGGAUAUAUAGAAAUCCUUGGUAGUUGCUAAAAGCCUGCUGUCUGGUUGGGGGUCUGGAUGGGAAGGACUUGAAAACCAGAGACAAGGAAAUCUGAGGACAAGGGAUAUAGAAGAAUAUAUUAGAGUACACAAAGCUUAUGAUGGACCAGUGGUCACCAGAAAGCGACAUCAAGGAAGAGGGACUAACAAAAUGUAGACAAAAAUGCCUCAACCAGUUGUUAGCCAGCCUUCUUCAUUGGCCAGCUCAGAACUGUCAGGAUGGGCACAUGAACAGAGGGGCUACUAUGGGCCCAGCAGCAGUACCCCACUUCCCAGGACUGAUCUAGCUACUGCUAUUUUUGAAAGUCCAAUUUCUCAGAAACAGAGACCAUCUACAAGAGUCAUCCAAAAUGGCCCUAGGCCUCAAGAAAAACAACUAGCCACUUCUGAAAGAAAGGAAAACUUUUUUGUGACCUCAGAUUAAGCAAGGAUUUAUUUGAUAUGAUACCAAAAGCAUAAUCCAUAAAAAAAUAAUUGGACUUUAUAAAAAUUAAAGCAUUCACUUUGGAUAAAUUAAUUGUAUAAUCAAGAUCAUGCUUAUAGCAUCACAUUUGAGAGAAUGAUUUUUACUUGAUCUGGUGUGAUAAACCCACUAUGAAGGAUUAAGAAUUGCAUUUUCUGUGCAGAGCCAAUGCCCACAAACCUACUUAGGCCCUGGUUGUUGUAUGACACCACUUAGCUUAGAUUUUCUGAUAAAACUACAGACUUAUAUGCAUUCAUUACUACUUCAUGCUGCAUCUAUAUAGAUGAAUCAAUGUUUCAGAACAAAUUACAGCCUUUUUUUUUUUUUUUUUUGUACUAUGGAUUGAACUCAGGGGCACUUGGCGACUAAGCCACAUCCCCAGCCCAAUUUUGUAUUUUAUUUAGAGACAGGGUCUCACUGAGUUUCUUAGCACCUCACUGUUGCUGAGGCUGGCUUUGAAUUUGUAAUCCUCCUGCCUCAGCCUCCUGAGCUGCUGGGAUUACAGGGGUGCACCACUGUGCCUGGCAAAUUACAGCCAUUCUUAGUGAUCAAGAAUAAUGUUUUCAGAUUAUGUAUGAUUAAAAGGGGGACUUUUAGGGAAAAAAAGUCUAAAACAGAAAUAGGCAAGACAAUAAAUUCAUAUCUUUAAUUACUAUACUAGAAUAAUUUUUAAAAACAACUAAAGUCUAAAAGACUCACUCAAGAAUUCUCUCUUUCCAGCUGGGGUUGUGGCUCAGUAGUGAAGCUCUUGCCUAGCAUGUGUGAGGCACUGGGUUUGAUUCUCACCACUGCAUCAAAAUAAAUAAAAUAAAGGCCUAUUGACAAUGAAAAAAAUUUUUAAAAAAAGAAUUAUAUUUUUUUUACUUACUACUUUAUAUAGAUUUAGUAUAUUUUAAUAAUCUAUAAAAAAGCUGAUAACAAGAGAAAUUAUUCUUAUCCAAUAACAAUGCAAAUGAAUUCUGUCUGAUCAUACAUGUAUGAAGACAUGAAUUGGGUGUCAACCUAUUUAUAAAAAACAGAGAUAUAAAAAUUGUGGUAUAUAUGUAUAAUAAGAAUUGUAAUGCAAAAAAAAGUACACAUAUAAAGACAUGAAUUGGCAUGAACAUACUUUAUAUACAAAGAUAUGAAAAAUUGUGCUCUAUAUGUGU